Fundulus heteroclitus (mummichog) is the source of this 1456-nucleotide long non-coding RNA. RefSeq lists it as uncharacterized. Lineage: Eukaryota; Metazoa; Chordata; Actinopteri; Cyprinodontiformes; Fundulidae. The record is from RefSeq and is a predicted model, not a curated record. The transcript is spliced from 2 exons.
CUUUGGUCUGCUGUAAAACUCCAUGUUCAGCUAAAAACAGAAUUUUAUUGGUCAGUCAGCAUCUGGGUACUUUAGGAAUAAUCCACCAAUGUGACAGAGCACAUGCAACACUGUGCAGCGUAUGGAUAGCAUGUUUAGGACUGGCCACUGUCUGCAGAGCAGGUCCAGACAGACUCAUUGGUCCAGCUGCAGCUGGUGGCGUGUCGGUGUUGAGCAUCAGCUCUUGUGUUGGCAGCUGUCAGUCUGUCUCCACCUGCCUGUGUGCUGGAUGGACUCUUUAGACUGUGGCAGGUCUUUAAACCGGCUGUUUGAAAGCUGGUUUUCUUGAUCAAAGCAGCAGCAAAUGUCAUAUGGAUAUAUCUUUUUAGACUUCAGAACUCCAGAACAUAUAUUUCCAAAAGACUCCAAGCUGCUCGGACCACCCCUCCCUGGAGCAGACCAGGAAAAAGCUACUUCGGACCACGGGCCCUGGCCGGGCCUGACCGACACACAAGCCAGCACCUGGGAGAAAAUUCUCGUCACCCUGGGGACAUGUCUGGACAAAUCAGAGUUAAGUCUGCUGUCUUAACCUCAGCGUGAGGAGCAGGAGGAAGAAAUCCUGCCACGCCAAAAACAGCUUUGUUUAUUUCUCCUCAGUCUUUACAGGGAAGUGAACCCCAGAAGGAGCUGGAAUGCCGACAAAGGGCCCGCUUUGGAAUGUGAGGAGAAUCUGCUUAAAUCAGACUGCAUCCAGGUUAGAGAACAUGGCAGAGACCAGGCCUCCGACCCCGACCACAUGUUGCUGCAGAGCUAAGCGCUAGCCAGCUAAGAGCAAACCAACAACUUUCCUGCUUUUAAGUGCUCCUUCCUCGGAUGGCCAAAGUGGACAAAACUCACACGAGGCAAAUGACAGGUGUGGCAGAGGGACCCAAAAUGGAAAGUUUAAAUGGUUCAUUUGGAAAAUGUUUGUAAACCGUUUGCACACGGUGUCUUUGAACAAAGGGGCUAACGGAGGUAGCUCAUUGCUAGCAUUCGGUACCAUGUCAUUGUCGAGUGUGUUUUUAUGGUUAUAACAAAGGUUAUCUCCACAAGGGUUUCAUAUAUUGAUGGGACAUUAAUGUUUACCUUAUCCAGCCCACUCAUUAUGACUAAAUAUAAUGAGCGGGCCGGAUCAACUUUAUAAAGUCUUUAAAGUUGAUGCCGAAAACCCGCUAGCCAAAAUGAUGUUAGCUUUGUUAACAUCCGGUUCCGGACAUGCAAAGGAGCUUGUUUUAAAGUAUAACGCUUGUUGUUUCGCUCCGCCGUCGGCCGAUAGAGCUAUGAGCCUUAUUCCCGCAUUAAUAUUGAAUAUUAAUGUCAGUUUAAACCUUAACCUUAUUUUCUUUGAGCAGCUGCUGGCCGUAAUGUCAUCUUCUGUGUUGUCCCUCAGCAAAAAAUAAUAAAAAAGAACCACUCCCAGGUUGGGUGGAAUCACCAA